This 440-nucleotide ribosomal RNA is filed under the name uncultured bacterium. RNAcentral's name for it is "partial 16S ribosomal RNA". It matches the Rfam family "Bacterial small subunit ribosomal RNA", at positions 338 to 795 of the family's 1533-position model. The record is from RNAcentral.
CCUACGGGAGGCAGCAGUAGGGAAUAUUGCUCAAUGGGGGAAACGCUGAAGCAGCCACGCCGCGUGGAGGAUGAAGGUUUUCGGAUUGUAAGCUCCUUUUGUCAGAGAAGAUAAUGACGGUAUCUAACGAGUAAGCACCGUCUAACGCCGGACCAGCACCCGCGGUAAUACGGAGGGUGCAAGCGUUACUCGGAAUCAAUGGGCGUAAAGAGCGAGUAGGCGGGUUAGCAAGUCAGAUGUGAAAUCCUAGGGCUUAAACAUAGAACGGCAUUUGAAACUGUGAUCCUAGAGUAUGGGAGAGGUAGGUGGAAUUCGUGGUGUAGGGGUAAAAUGCGUAGAGAUCAAGAGGAAUCCUGAUUGCGAAGGCGACCUGCUAGAACAUCACUGACGCUGAUGCGCGAAAGCGUGGGGAGCAAACAGGAUUAGAUACCCUUGUAGUC